GGGAAGGUAUGCAAGAGGCUUAAGCAUACAGACUGUAAAUCUGUCGGCCUUCGGGCCUUCGUAGGUUCGAAUCCUACUCUCCCCA
RNAcentral lists this transfer RNA (85 nucleotides) under Paenibacillus peoriae. RNAcentral describes it as "tRNA-Tyr". It matches the Rfam family "tRNA". From Rfam's summary of the family: Transfer RNA (tRNA) molecules are approximately 80 nucleotides in length. Lineage: Bacteria; Bacillati; Bacillota; Bacilli; Caryophanales; Paenibacillaceae. The record is from RNAcentral.